This 90-nucleotide transfer RNA is filed under the name Chryseobacterium sp. RNAcentral describes it as "tRNA-Ser". It matches the Rfam family "tRNA". From Rfam's summary of the family: Transfer RNA (tRNA) molecules are approximately 80 nucleotides in length. Their secondary structure includes four short double-helical elements and three loops (D, anti-codon, and T loops). Lineage: Bacteria; Pseudomonadati; Bacteroidota; Flavobacteriia; Flavobacteriales; Weeksellaceae. The record is from RNAcentral.
AGAGAGGUGUCCGAGUGGUCGAAGGAGCAAGCCUGGAAAGUUUGUGUGCGGGUAACUGUACCGAGGGUUCGAAUCCCUUCCUCUCUGCAA